ACGAAUGUUGGCGGCGUGUCUAAGGCAUGCAAGUCGAGCGGACGAUAUUUUGUAGCAAUACUUGAAAUCGUUAGCGGCAAACGGGUGCGUAACACAUUGGUAAUCUGCCUCGCAGUCGGGUAUAACUCGCCGAAAGGCGUGCUAAUCCCACGAUAUUCUUCACGUGUUAGUAACGUGCAAGGAAAGCAGUAAUGCGCUGCGAGAGGAGCCUAUGGCCUAUCAGCUAGUUGGUGAGGUAACGGCUCACCAAGGCUAUGACGGGUAGGGGAUGUGAGAGCAUGAUCCCCCUCACUGGAACUGAGACACUGUCCAGACACCUACGGGUGGCUGCAGUCGAGAAUAUUCCCCAAUGGGCGAAAGCCUGAGGGAGCGACGCCGCGUGUGCGAUGAAGGCCUUCGGGUCGUAAAGCACUUUUACCGAGGAAGAACCUUGACGGUACUCGGAGAAUAAGGGGUUGCUAACUCUGU
This 468-nucleotide ribosomal RNA is filed under the name uncultured bacterium. RNAcentral describes it as "bacterial SSU rRNA". It matches the Rfam family "Bacterial small subunit ribosomal RNA", at positions 29 to 506 of the family's 1533-position model. The record is from RNAcentral.